RNAcentral lists this ribosomal RNA (399 nucleotides) under Cercozoa sp. RNAcentral's name for it is "partial small subunit ribosomal RNA". It matches the Rfam family "Eukaryotic small subunit ribosomal RNA", at positions 582 to 975 of the family's 1831-position model. The record is from RNAcentral. Lineage: Eukaryota; Cercozoa.
AUUCCAGCUCCAGUAGCGUAUAUUAAAGUUGUUGCAGUUAAAAAGCUCGUAGUUGGAUUUCUGGUUUCACAGAACUGGCCUACUUCCUCAAGGUCGUGUGCGCCGUGUUUUGUGUACCAUCCUUCUAGAAAUUGUGUUCCAUCCCUUCACUGGGAUAGAUCCGAGAUCUAGAUCUUUUACUUUGAAGAAAUUAGAGUGUUCAAAGCAGGCUCGCGCUGUGAAUACAUUAGCAUGGAAUAAUAAUUUAGGACUUGGUAUCCUAUUUUGUUGGUUCUCAGGAUCUAAGUAAUGAUUGAUAGGGAUAGUUGGGGGUGCUAGUAUUGAGCGGCCAGAGGUGAAAUUCUUGGAUUCGCUCAAGACUAACUUACGCGAAAGCAUUCACCAAGGAUGUCUUCAUCA